RNAcentral lists this ribosomal RNA (260 nucleotides) under uncultured soil bacterium. Its description in RNAcentral is "partial 16S ribosomal RNA". It matches the Rfam family "Bacterial small subunit ribosomal RNA", at positions 26 to 287 of the family's 1533-position model. The record is from RNAcentral.
AGGACGAACGCUGGCGGCGUGCCUAACACAUGCAAGUCGAACGGGACCAGGGGCAACUCUGGUUCAGUGGCGGACGGGUGCGUAACACGUGAGGAACAUGACCUUCGGCGGGGGAUAGCCGGCCCAACGGCCGGGUAAUACCGCGUACGACCACUUGGGGACAUCCCUGAGUGGUGAAAGCAGCAAUGCGCCGAUGGAGUGCCUCGCGGCCUAUCAGCUAGUUGGUGAGGUAACGGCUCACCGAGGCGACGACGGGUAGC